RNAcentral lists this long non-coding RNA (453 nucleotides) under Sorghum bicolor (sorghum). Its description in RNAcentral is "long non-coding RNA (SBIC_LNC012048)". Lineage: Eukaryota; Viridiplantae; Streptophyta; Magnoliopsida; Poales; Poaceae. The record is from RNAcentral.
CUCCAUAGACUCCUCCAAAACUCGGGCGUAGCGCCGCUCUACCUAACUCUCAACUAGAACUAAUCUACUACAUUGGAAAGCCUAGCCCUAAUUCUCUAGAGGUGAGAGGUCAUCCAUUCGAGGGACGCCUCUACAUCUCCAUAAUGUGGUGCCCUCAGGGAGGGUGGGUCUGCCUCUUUACUUAUAGCCCGGUGGGAUCGACAUGCACCACAGGAUCAACCGACUUCACCAAAGGCCAAGAUGACUCCUCGUAGGCGGUGGAGGAAGCUUCUAGAAGGGGGGCUGAAACCCUAGCAGGGGGGCGCCGGCCGACGCUAGGGUGGGGCCGGCCGGCCCCACCUGGCGGCCUCUGGCUCCCCGGCUAUUUGAGUGCCUUCCAGAGUCUUCCCACGUCUCGUUUGCGAUAUUGUCGUGGCGGAUAAGUUUUGUAUUUAUUUUGCACUAGAAUCCCUC